This is a non-coding RNA of Vicia faba (fava bean), 264 nucleotides long. The record is from the annotation of a GenBank genome assembly. NCBI's taxonomy places the organism in Eukaryota, Viridiplantae, Streptophyta, Magnoliopsida, Fabales, Fabaceae.
AUGCAUGUCUUCAAAUUUCUUCUUCACAUCAUCAUCAACACUCAAUCAACAUCACAUAUAAACAACAGCCGAAAAAGGAAAAUGCAAAAGAAUCACAAACAGAAGAGAAAUCACAUAAUCAAGAAGGCACAAGGUCAAGUAUAUUACCUGGAAUUCGCAUCAGUAUCUCGUCAUUUUAUUCGUCGAAACAAGAACCACCGGAGUUCUCUAGUAGGUAAGUCGAUCUUCUUCUCAAUCUCUUUAUCCUUUUCACUCUUUCUGUGA